ACACAGGGAUUGCCCUAGUAACGGCGAGUGAACAGGCAAGAGCUCAGAUUUGAAAGGCACUUUUGUGCCGUUGUAUUCUGAAGUUAGGGUCCUGAGAAACGAUGCUUAAGUCUUCUGGAAAGGAGCGCCAUGGAGGGUGAUAGCCCCGUCUAGCAUUGACCUCAUAUAGGAUCUUAACAUGGAGUCGAGUUGUUUGGGAAUGCAGCUCAAAUGGGUGGUAUGCUCCAUCUAAAGCUAAAUAUCUGCGAGAGACCGAUAGUAAACAAGUACUGUGAGGGAAAGAUGAAAAGAACUUUGAAAAGAGAGUGAAAAAGUACGUGAAAUUGUUGAAAUGGAAGGGUAGGCCGCUAACCAUGUAGAGCCGUGUUUGGGGGGAAGAUAAAUGCUGUAGAAUGUAGCUCCUCGGAGUAUUAUAGAUGCAGUUCAUAUUCCCACCCGAGCGCGAGGAUCUCAGGUUCUACUAAAUGGUGGUCUACCACCCGUCUGAAACACGGACCAAUA
This 501-nucleotide ribosomal RNA is filed under the name Starmerella bacillaris. Its description in RNAcentral is "LSU rRNA". It matches the Rfam family "Eukaryotic large subunit ribosomal RNA", at positions 66 to 671 of the family's 3401-position model. The record is from RNAcentral. Lineage: Eukaryota; Fungi; Ascomycota; Dipodascomycetes; Dipodascales; Trichomonascaceae.